This 809-nucleotide non-coding RNA is filed under the name Batrachyla taeniata (banded wood frog). RNAcentral describes it as "partial 12S ribosomal RNA". It matches the Rfam family "Bacterial small subunit ribosomal RNA", at positions 36 to 1402 of the family's 1533-position model. Lineage: Eukaryota; Metazoa; Chordata; Amphibia; Anura; Batrachylidae. The record is from RNAcentral.
UUACUCAAUAUACACAUGCAAGUUUCCGCACCCCUGUGAAAACGCCCUUUAAUCCCCUUAAGGGAGAAGGAGCUGGUAUCAGGCACAAAAAUUUGCCCAAAACACCUAGCUACGCCACACCCACAAGGGAAUUCAGCAGUGAUUAACAUUGAAUAUAAGCAACAGCUCGAUUCAGUCAGAGUAAAGCAGAGCCGGCUAAUCUGGUGCCAGCCGCCGCGGUUACACCACGUGGCUCAAAUUUGAUCCCUAUCGGCGUAAACGCGUGAUUAAAGUCUUUAUAAACUUGAGGUUAAACUAAAAUUAGGCCGUGACACGCUUGUGACUAAGAAACCCAAAAACGAAAGUUACCCCCAAUUAAAUCAACUUGAAUUCACGACAGCUGGGGCACAAACUGGGAUUAGAUACCCCACUAUGCCCAGCCGUAAACUUUAAAUUACACCUACAUCGCCUGAGAAACUACGAGCAAAGCCUUAAACUCAAAGGACUUGACGGUACCCCAUAUCCCCCUAGAGGAGCCUGUCCUAUAAUCGAUAACCCCCGUUUAACCUCACCAUUUUUAGCCAAUCAGCCUGUAUACCUCCGUCGUCAGCUUACCACGUGAGCGAAACUCAGUGAGCUUAAUGCCUUUACACCAAUACGUCAGGUCAAGGUGCAGCAAAUGAAAUGGAAAGAGAUGGGCUACACUUUCUAAUAUAGAAAAACACGAAAGACUUUAUGAAAUCUAGUCGGAAGGCGGAUUUAGCAGUAAAAAGAAAUCAGAAUAUUCUUUUUAACACGGCACUGGGGUGUGUACACACCGCCCGUCACCU